RNAcentral lists this ribosomal RNA (496 nucleotides) under uncultured bacterium. RNAcentral describes it as "partial 16S ribosomal RNA". It matches the Rfam family "Bacterial small subunit ribosomal RNA", at positions 29 to 507 of the family's 1533-position model. The record is from RNAcentral.
ACGCACGCUGGCGGCGUGCCUAAUACAUGCAAGUUGAGCGAUGAAGAUUGGUGCUUGCACCAAUUUGAAGAGCAGCGAACGGGUGAGUAACGCGUGGGGAAUCUGCCUUUGAGCGGGGGACAACAUUUGGAAACGAAUGCUAAUACCGCAUAACAACUUUAAACAUAAGUUUUAAGUUUGAAAGAUGCAAUUGCAUCACUCAAAGAUGAUCCCGCGUUGUAUUAGCUAGUUGGUGAGGUAAAGGCUCACCAAGGCGAUGAUACAUAGCCGACCUGAGAGGGUGAUCGGCCACAUUGGGACUGAGACACGGCCCAAACUCCUACGGGAGGCAGCAGUAGGGAAUCUUCGGCAAUGGACGAAAGUCUGACCGAGCAACGCCGCGUGAGGGAAGAAGGGUUUCGGAUCGUAAAACUCUGUUGGUAGAGAAGAACGUUGGUGAGAGUGGAAAGCUCAUCAAGUGACGGUAACUACCCAGAAAGGGACGGCUAACUACGUG